This 279-nucleotide ribosomal RNA is filed under the name uncultured Staphylococcus sp. RNAcentral describes it as "partial 16S ribosomal RNA". It matches the Rfam family "Bacterial small subunit ribosomal RNA", at positions 83 to 356 of the family's 1533-position model. Lineage: Bacteria; Bacillati; Bacillota; Bacilli; Caryophanales; Staphylococcaceae. The record is from RNAcentral.
CCUUUGACGUUAGCGGCGGACGGGUGAGUAACACGUGGGUAACCUACCUAUAAGACUGGGAUAACUUCGGGAAACCGGAGCUAAUACCGGAUAAUAUUUCGAACCGCAUGGUUCGAUAGUGAAAGGNGGUUUUGCUAUCACUUAUAGAUGGACCCGCGCCGUAUUAGCUAGUUGGUAAGGUAACGGCUUACCAAGGCGACGAUACGUAGCCGACCUGAGAGGGUGAUCGGCCACACUGGAACUGAGACACGGUCCAGACUCCUACGGGAGGCAGCAGCG